CAGCGCAAUAACGGUCUUCUCUGUCCUCUCCCGUGUUCUGUUAUCUUUCCAUCUUCCGCCCGUCUCCUCUUAGUGCUGAGGAAAGGUCAGGUGGUGACUGGUUACUACCGUUGGCUCCAGAGGAGAGGAGGCUACCUGUGGAUCCAGUCCAGUGCCACCGUCUCCAUCAACCACAAAGCUCCACAUGAACGCAACGUCAUCUGGGUCAACUACAUCCUGAGUCGAACAGAGAUGCCUGACACUCCCCUGGAUAUACUGCAGCUACCAGAGAAUGUGAGAGCAGAGCGACUUCGAGUUAGCUCGUCCCCCACCGACAGCUCCCCGCAGGCCCGAGGCACGCAGCCAUUGAAGAGCUCAGUGGGGAAGAGUGACCUCGACACUAAAGGCAGAGAGAAAUUCACCACCGCUGCCAUCCAAUCAGAAGACAGGAGGAAGCGCCUGCUGAGGUCCGACCCCGAGGGUGCUCCUCCCGAAACCCGUCGCAGACUGGAGGAGCUCCGCCACACAGAGGAGAGUGUAUCAGCCUCCUCUGACCUGGCAAGCGAAAGCGAGGGGGAGGAGGAGGAAGAGACAGAGUGGGACCAGGGGGGAGACAGUGACAGACUGAAACAGGAAGACACUGGAGGAGGUAAACAGAGUAGGGGAGGAGAGACCCCCACUAGAGGGGAGAGGGGGAGCAGGGUGCACAACGGCCGGGCUGUGAUCCAGCAACUGAAGAGUGUAGUGACCCCGUCUCCCCUGGCUGGCAGCCCCAGCAUCAAGACUGAACACGAAGCCCUGACCACCGGGGGGCGCUGGGGGUCACACACACAAACCUCCACCUCCCACACACACACCACACAGCCCCAACCCUCACAUGCACACACACCCUCCAGCAGCCUCAACGGCGACAGCCCCACCACCCCAAUCCCCGACUCUUCUUCCAGCAGUGAGGCCCCCCCAAAAGGGUUGUUCACUCCCCCGUCCCCAGCUCUGUCCCCCGCCAUGUCCGUGUCCUCCCCACUGCCCCGUGAGGACAGGAUUGUGUCGGGGGUGGUCAGUCGGAGCAGUGGCGGUGCAGGUAGCACUCCUGACUUUGAGCUGCUGCAGAGACUGGCUGCAGGCGGCGCAGCGGGGCGGGUCCUCUUCCACCCCCUUGCCCUCGGCCCGCAGGGCCCUCAGAGCCUCUACGCUCCCAGCACUAUUCGCUACGCUCCACCUGAGCUGCCCCCCUCCCACCACCACGGCUUAGAACACAGCGAUGGCCUGCAGCUACGCUCGGACCACCACAAGGGACCCCCGCCAGCCUUCUUCCCCCACCUACAGCGGUUGGCUGGCUUACCACCCUUCAGUGGUUUCUCCCCGUCUGACAGCCCUUUCUCCUCCGGCCUGCCCUUCUGUAUGAAUGGACUGAGGGGGGCUGCAGGCUCCGAGGAGGACUGAGACUCAGACAGGAGGAGGUGAGAGGAGAAGAUAAAAAUGAAGAAUGGAGCAGAGAGACAGACCAGAAAGAGACAUUGUAAAGGGCAGGAGAGACAGAAGUGGCAGGACAUUAAGCCUCUGAGGAUAUUACUAAUUGGACAAUGAGUUGAAUAACUGCGAUUUAAAAUAUGUGACAAGUCGCUGCCAUAGGGAAUUAUUGUGUCUGCCCAUUGUGGACAAGUGACAGUGACUCUCAGAGAAAACAGGACAUGGAAACUUUUGACUGGUUGUCCCUCAAGACUUUUCGUCUCAACAAUUAUGAACUCUGCUCUGUGUCUUCCUCUAGAUGACUGUGUUGAUUUCUGUCUCUUCCACUCAGAGAAGCCAUAUUGUAUAUAGAGACAAAACCAUAAAGACCCUCAGCUCAAAUCCUCCUCACUGUCACUCCAAUUAACCCAAUUAACCCUAAAGCCAGUAGAAAGAGAUGGACACUUGUCCGUAGGAAUGAAAGCGACUUUGGAAUAUACAUUUUUAUUAUUGCAGUAUUAUACAAAUCAUCUCUUACACUGAGAUCCAGGUGAGAAUUUGAUUAUAGGGUUCAAAAUAGACAGAGAAAGCCCUCUGGUGUUUUUGUAUUGAGAUUUAAAAUGAUAAUGAUAAAAAGAAAUCCAAGUAUUCAUGAGUCAGCCAUACUUAAAGCACACUGUUGGGACAAAAGUAUGAAUAAUGUAGUCCCAGACAUUCCAUUAUAUAUAAGGGAAGAAAAUGCAAUGCAGACAGGAUGUUAUUUCUGUUGUUUGGUUAUCAGAAGAUUGUUUGUUUAACUGAGUAUUAAUUAUAGUAUAUUCUGUAUGAUGCUGCGGUUGUGUUUGUGUAUGAAAGCCAUAUUCUUGUUGUUUUUUUUUAUUGAUGAUUUUUUUUGUCACCAGAUAAAACGGGGGGGGGGAGGAUGGUGUGAAAGUUGUGUCUAGACAAACAAACGUUUUAUUGGAGGUACAAUAUCAUCCAAACACCUUUUUUUUAUUAUUCUCUAAAAAAAAAGAUCUUUCUGAAAAUGUUUUUAGGAGGGGAAAUGGUGCUGGACACAAGUGUUUGUCAUCAUUUAAACCUCUGUGUUUUUUUCUGAGCACUUACUGAAAUUUGUUCUAGUGUGAACUCAAAGCACUUCAUCACUUAGCACUCACUCACACAGUGUAGUAGAGGGGAUGAAUAGUCAUUCAAAAAGGCAGAUAAAUAAACAGACCAUGAGAGGUCAAUAAAAAAAUAACCUUAGAGUUAUGCUGAUUUUGGUUUCAGUUCAUCUCAGUUCAUUGGAAUUACUCUUAGGACUGAAAAAAACAAAACAUACAAAAUGCUAUAUACAAAAAAAAGAAAUAACAGUUUUUUAAUCAGUGCUUAAACUGAAAUGAGUCACAAACAAGUUGGCAGUUGUCUAAAAGAUGCCCAGACAAUUGAGAAUGUUCAUUCCAAAAUGUGACCCUUUUUGACAAAAUGUUGGUAUCAAUACAGCCAUAACACUGACAUUGAUAUAAAUACUCAGAAAUAAACAUCAGAUACUUCUCUAGCACUUUGGAAUAAAGUCCUUCAAACUGAUCAAAAUACACAGAUUUGUAAAAUCUGUUGAAAGCCAAGUCUUCAAAAUGAUCCACAAAGCCAGACACCGUAUGUACAAUGUUAUUGUUUCUCUUCCAAAAUUGAGAUUAUGGUGGACUGUCUGAUCUGAGGGCUCAGUUUAUGUGGAAAUCUCUAAAGUUCUGAUGUCUGACAGAAAAAAAAGAAGAAAAAACAUUUUUUAAUUGUUCAGAUCCGACGUGCACUACACACCCAUACCGUAGCUGGCACAUGCAAAUAUGUGUGAGCGCACAUAUUCUCGGGUGUUUAAUGGUAUAACGUGUGUAUGAUUGCGUGCGUGUGCGUUUGCUUGUUCAAGUGUGUCUGUUUUUGUAUUAAAUAGCUAACCCCUUGCCCAUCACUGUGAAUCUAACGUUAUCCCCCCAUCUUUGUGAAUACUCCACCCACUCAUCAAAUAAAAUGAACAAAUGUAAAAAGAAAAACAGUGAUACAGAUGACCAUAACAAUAAAAUAUUCCAGUAGAGGAG
RNAcentral lists this long non-coding RNA (3500 nucleotides) under Sander lucioperca (pikeperch). RNAcentral describes it as "lncRNA (ENSSLUG00000014757.1)". Lineage: Eukaryota; Metazoa; Chordata; Actinopteri; Perciformes; Percidae. The record is from RNAcentral.